Molecule: ribosomal RNA, 466 nt
Filed under: uncultured bacterium
Lineage: Bacteria
Description: bacterial SSU rRNA
Rfam family: Bacterial small subunit ribosomal RNA
Source: RNAcentral
CGCCAGACUCCUACGGGAGGCAGCAGUGAGGAAUAUUGGUCAAUGGGCGGAAGCCUGAACCAGCCAAGUCGCGUGAGGGAUGACGGCCCUACGGGUUGUAAACCUCUUUUGCCGGGGAGCAAAGAGCGGGACGCGUCCCGCCUCGAGAGUACCCGGAGAAAAAGCAUCGGCUAACUCCGUGCCAGCAGCCGCGGUACUACGGAGGAUGCGAGCGUUAUCCGGAUUUAUUGGGUUUAAAGGGUGCGUAGGCGGAUUUUUAAGUCAGCGGUAAAAUGUCCGGGCUCAACCCGGGCCGGCCGUUGAAACUGGGGAUCUUGAGUGGGCGAGAAGUAUGCGGAAUGCGUGGUGUAGCGGUGAAAUGCAUAGAUAUCACGCAGAACUCCGAUUGCGAAGGCAGCAUACCGGCGCCCGACUGACGCUGAGGCACGAAAGCGUGGGGAUCGAACAGGAUUAGAUACCCGCGUAU